GACGAACGCUGGCGGCGUGCUUAACACAUGCAAGUCGAACGGAAAGGCCCUGCUUUUGUGGGGUGCUCGAGUGGCGAACGGGUGAGUAACACGUGAGUAACCUGCCCUUGACUUUGGGAUAACUUCAGGAAACUGGGGCUAAUACCGGAUAGGAGCUCCUGCUGCAUGGUGGGGGUUGGAAAGUUUCGGCGGUUGGGGAUGGACUCGCGGCUUAUCAGCUUGUUGGUGGGGUAGUGGCUUACCAAGGCUUUGACGGGUAGCCGGCCUGAGAGGGUGACCGGCCACAUUGGGACUGAGAUACGGCCCAGACUCCUACGGGAGGCAGCAGGGGGGAAUAUUGCAGAAUGGGCGGAAGCCUGAUGCAGCAACGCCGCGUGCGGGAUGACGGCCUUCGGGUUGUAAACCGCUUUCGCCUGUGACGAAGCGUGAGUGACGGUAAUGGGUAAAGAAGCACCGGCUAACUACGUG
RNAcentral lists this ribosomal RNA (468 nucleotides) under uncultured bacterium. RNAcentral describes it as "partial 16S ribosomal RNA". It matches the Rfam family "Bacterial small subunit ribosomal RNA", at positions 28 to 507 of the family's 1533-position model. The record is from RNAcentral.